Aquila chrysaetos chrysaetos is the source of this 812-nucleotide long non-coding RNA. RefSeq lists it as uncharacterized. The record is from RefSeq and is a predicted model, not a curated record. NCBI's taxonomy places the organism in Eukaryota, Metazoa, Chordata, Aves, Accipitriformes, Accipitridae. The transcript has 2 exons.
AGAAGGACCAUUAGGGUUUGGGUUUAGUGCAUUUUUAAUAGGAUGAUCUUCAACGGCUCUAAAAGGAAUUCUGGUGAUCCCAGGACUUAUUGAUGCAGAUUAUUGUGGGACUGUGAAAAUUAUGAUCCACGUUUUAAUCCCUCCUGUUUCUAUUCCUAAAGGUACCAGAUUAGCACAAUUAGUUCCAUUCAGGUCAUGUGUUCCGAACCCAGGUGAAGUACAACGUGGAGAUGGUGGAUUCGGCUCCACCAGGGAACUGCAAUGCUGGGUGUGCCUAAAGAAAUUAAGACUGACAAUGGCCCGGCUUAUGGUUCUACACGAUUUGCUCGGUUUUGUAACUUGUGGGGGAUUCACCAUGGUACGGGUAUCCCACAUCUUCCCACAGGACAGGCUAUUGUCGAACGAGCUAACCAAACCUUGAAGAGCAUGCUGCAAAAACAAAGGGGGGGAACUCAAGGCUUACUUCCAGAGGAGCGACUGGCCAAAGCCUUAUUUGUGCUAAAUUAUCUUAGAUUGACAGAUGACCACAAAGAUCCACCGAUGGUAGUGCACCAUGCUCUUUUACAGGCGGAAAAGACGCCACAGAAUACAGGAAUCAUGGUAAUGUAUAAGGACCCAGAGUCCGGACAAUGGCGCGGACCUGCAGAAGUAAAGCUUACUGGGAGGGGAUAUAUGUGUUUGCUUACAGAUUGAGGCAUUCGCUGGAUCCCAGCCAAGUGGGUCAAGCCAUGGCUUCGCACUGAUGCUGGAUCCGGAAUCGUUCCAACAGCAACUGGCACGAUACCGGCAGGUGCUGAAGCCGCUGAUCCGAC